RNAcentral lists this ribosomal RNA (443 nucleotides) under Phaeobacter sp. RNAcentral's name for it is "bacterial SSU rRNA". It matches the Rfam family "Bacterial small subunit ribosomal RNA", at positions 57 to 546 of the family's 1533-position model. Lineage: Bacteria; Pseudomonadati; Pseudomonadota; Alphaproteobacteria; Rhodobacterales; Roseobacteraceae. The record is from RNAcentral.
GCAGUCGAGCGCACUCUUCGGAGUGAGCGGCGGACGGGUUAGUAACGCGUGGGAAUGUACCCUUCUCUAAGGAAUAGCCUCGGGAAACUGAGAGUAAUACCUUAUACGCCCUUCGGGGGAAAGAUUUAUCGGAGAAGGAUCAGCCCGCGUUAGAUUAGAUAGUUGGUGGGGUAAUGGCCUACCAAGUCUACGAUCUAUAGCUGGUUUUAGAGGAUGAUCAGCAACACUGGGACUGAGACACGGCCCAGACUCCUACGGGAGGCAGCAGUGGGGAAUCUUGGACAAUGGGCGCAAGCCUGAUCCAGCCAUGCCGCGUGAGUGAUGAAGGCCUUAGGGUCGUAAAGCUCUUUCGCCUGUGAUGAUAAUGACAGUAGCAGGUAAAGAAACCCCGGCUAACUCCGUGCCAGCAGCCGCGGNAAUACAGAGGGGGUUAGCGGUGUUCU